GACGAACGCUGGCGGCGUGCUUAACACAUGCAAGUCGAACGAAGAGCGAUGGAAGCUUGCUUCUAUCAAUCUUAGUGGCGAACGGGUGAGUAACGCGUAAUCAACCUGCCCUUCAGAGGGGGACAACAGUUGGAAACGACUGCUAAUACCGCAUACGAUCUAAUCUCGGCAUCGAGGAUAGAUGAAAGGUGGCCUCUACAUGUAAGCUAUCACUGAAGGAGGGGAUUGCGUCUGAUUAGCUAGUUGGAGGGGUAACGGCCCACCAAGGCGAUGAUCAGUAGCCGGUCUGAGAGGAUGAACGGCCACAUUGGGACUGAGACACGGCCCAGACUCCUACGGGAGGCAGCAGUGGGGAAUCUUCCGCAACGGACGAAAGUCUGACGGAGCAACGCCGCGUGAGUGAUGACGGCCUUCGGGUUGUAAAGCUCUGUUAAUCGGGACGAAAGGCCUU
This 451-nucleotide ribosomal RNA is filed under the name Veillonella parvula. Its description in RNAcentral is "bacterial SSU rRNA". It matches the Rfam family "Bacterial small subunit ribosomal RNA", at positions 28 to 456 of the family's 1533-position model. The record is from RNAcentral. Lineage: Bacteria; Bacillati; Bacillota; Negativicutes; Veillonellales; Veillonellaceae.